RNAcentral lists this transfer RNA (74 nucleotides) under Candidatus Poribacteria bacterium. RNAcentral's name for it is "tRNA-Gln". It matches the Rfam family "tRNA". Rfam says of the family: Transfer RNA (tRNA) molecules are approximately 80 nucleotides in length. Their secondary structure includes four short double-helical elements and three loops (D, anti-codon, and T loops). Further hydrogen bonds mediate the characteristic L-shaped molecular structure. tRNAs have two regions of fundamental functional importance: the anti-codon, which is responsible for specific mRNA codon recognition, and the 3' end, to which the tRNAs corresponding amino acid is attached (by aminoacyl-tRNA synthetases). tRNAs cope with the degeneracy of the genetic code in two manners: having more than one tRNA (with a specific anti-codon) for a particular amino acid; and 'wobble' base-pairing, i.e. permitting non-standard base-pairing at the 3rd anti-codon position. Lineage: Bacteria; Candidatus Poribacteria. The record is from RNAcentral.
UGCCCGGUCGUCUAAUGGCAGGACGCAUGGCUCUGGACCAUGUUGCGAAGGUUCGAGUCCUUCCCGGGCAGCCA